UACUUAUCAAGAAAGGUGGAGGGACUGGCCCUGUGAAACCUUGGCAACCGGUCUACUUAGGCUUGGUGCUAAUUCCAGCCCUGAUGGGGGAGAUGAGUG
Molecule: regulatory RNA element, 99 nt
Rfam family: SAM riboswitch aptamer (S box leader)
About the family: The SAM riboswitch is found upstream of a number of genes which code for proteins involved in methionine or cysteine biosynthesis in Gram-positive bacteria. The SAM riboswitch acts at the level of transcription termination control.
Source: Rfam